UACUAGCCCAAUGCUCUUCCAACUGAGCUACCGCGUAGCUCCGAAUAUGAGCAACCGCGUAGCUCAGUUGGAAGAGCAUUGGGCUAGUA
RNAcentral lists this microRNA precursor (89 nucleotides) under Paramuricea clavata. Lineage: Eukaryota; Metazoa; Cnidaria; Anthozoa; Malacalcyonacea; Plexauridae. The record is from RNAcentral.